This 83-nucleotide transfer RNA is filed under the name Planctomycetota bacterium. Its description in RNAcentral is "tRNA-Ser". It matches the Rfam family "tRNA". Rfam says of the family: Transfer RNA (tRNA) molecules are approximately 80 nucleotides in length. RNAcentral also lists the same sequence under 1 other name. Lineage: Bacteria; Pseudomonadati; Planctomycetota. The record is from RNAcentral.
GGAGGGUACCCGAAUUGGCUAGGAGACUGAUUCGAAAUCAGUUGCUCAGCAAUGAGUUGCGGGUUCGAGUCCCGUGCCCUCCG